Molecule: non-coding RNA, 3451 nt
Organism: Phalacrocorax carbo (great cormorant)
Lineage: Eukaryota; Metazoa; Chordata; Aves; Suliformes; Phalacrocoracidae
Source: RefSeq, a predicted model, not a curated record
UACGCAAGGCGGGUGCGGGCGAACCAUUGAGCGGGGGCGGGGGAACCCGGCAGCCGGCGGCUGGGAACACCCCUUCGCCCGGGCGUUGCGGCGGGGGGAGCGGACGUGACAGGACGAGCGGCUGGGCGCAGGCUGCCGGAGCGGAGGGCGAUGGUCGUCCCCCGGGGACAGGAGUGCCAGGCCCCCCAGGAGGUUGAAACAAGAGAAGAUGAGGAACAAAACAUCAAGUUGACUGAAAUUUUGGAACUGUUGGUGGCUGCUGGGUAUUUUCGAGCAAGAAUCAAAGGAUUAUCGCCCUUUGACAAGGUGGUAGGCGGCAUGACGUGGUGUAUCACUACUUGCAACUUUGAUAUUGAUGUUGAUUUAUUGUUUCAGGAAAACUCUACUAUUGGUCAAAAAAUAGCCUUAACUGAAAAAAUUGUGUCAGUAUUACCAAAAAUGAAGUGUCCUCAUCGUUUGGAACCACAUCAGAUCCAGGGACUGGAUUUCAUUCAUAUAUUUCCUGUUGUACAGUGGCUGGUGAAACGUGCAAUAGAAACAAGGGAAGAAAUGGGAGACUAUAUCCGUUCUUACUCUAUAUCACAGUUUCAAAAAACUCAUAGACUACCAGAGGAUGAUGAAUUUAUGCAAAGAAAAGAGAAGGCUAUCAAAACCGUUACUGAUAUCUUUGAGGUUUACAAGCCCCAGAGAAAAUACAAACGUCAGAAGGGAGCUGAAGAACUGCUAGAUGAGGAAUCAAAGGUUCAUGCUACGCUUCUGGAAUAUGGCAGGAGGUAUGGAUUUAGCAGACAAGCAGCAAAAACAGAACAGGCUGAGGAUAAAAAAAUUGCGCUACCUCCAGGGCUUGGAGCAGCAGGGAAAGCUGAGCCUUGUGAUGAAGAUGACCUUCAGGCUGCUGAAGAGCUUCGCAUUAAAACUCUGAUGACUGGAAUGGCUGCAAUGGCAACAGAAGAGGGCAAGUUGACAGCGAGCACAGUUGGCCAGAUCGUUGAACUCCAGUCAGAUGAGAUCAAGCAAAUAGUGUCAGAAUAUGCUGAAAAGCAAUCUGAGCUUUCUGCUGAGGAGCGACCAGAAAGGCUUGGAGCUGCCCAACAACAUAGAAGGAAGGUGGCAUCUCUGAAUAAGCAGAUUUUGCAGAAAACCAAGCUCCUGGAAGAGUUGCAAGCUAAAUGUGCUGAUCUGCAGACAAAAUGUACUGAAGCAAAAAAGGCAUUAAAUGAGGUUAAGAGUUACAGUGAAAAGCUGGACAAGGAAUUGGCAGCCUUAGAAACAAUAGAAUCCCAAGCAGAUUCUAGCGUAUUACACAGUCUGCGAGCACUAGUGGCCAUGAAUGAAAACCUGAAAAGCCAGGAGCAAGAGUUCAAAGCACAUUGUAGGGAAGAAAUGGAGAGACUUCAACAAAAUAUUGAGGCCCUGAAAGCUGAGGGAGUGGAAGAUGGGGAGGAAGAGGAGCCGAAUAAGAUUAUAGAACAGCAGUACAAAACUGAGAAAGAUAAACUUCAAAAGAUCCGACUCUUGUUGGCACGAAGAAACAGAGAAAUAGCCAUUUUACAACGCAAGAUUGAUGAAGUACCCAGCCGAGCUGAGCUAACACAGUAUCAGAAGAGAUUUAUUGAACUUUACAGUCAGGUGUCAGCAACUCACAAAGAAACGAAGCAGUUCUUUACUCUUUAUAAUACACUGGAUGAUAAGAAAGUAUAUUUGGAAAAGGAGGUUAACCUACUGAAUUCUAUUCACGACAACUUUCAUCAAGCAAUGGCAUCUUCUGGUUCUCGUGAGCAGUUUUUACGGCAGAUGGAGCAGAUUGUAGAAGGCAUCAAACAGAAUCGGAUGAAGAUGGAAAAGAAGAAGCAGGAAAACAAAAUGCGAAGAGACCAGUUGAAUGAUGAAUACUUAGAGCUUCUAGAGAAACAGAGGCUUUACUUCAAAACAGUGAAAGAAUUUAAAGAGGAAUGCCGUAAGAAUGAAAUGCUGCUGGCUAAGCUGAAAGCUAGUUCUUCCUGAAGAACUCCAGCUGGUGAAGUUUAUAGAAGAUUGUUCAGCCCAUUGAAUCUCUUUUGUGAGCAUACGCAAGCUACGCGAUAACCCCUCUCCGACACGGCUGCUAAGGAUGUCGGCCCCCAGCUGGUGGCAACACACCGAGCGGCCAGUGCCUGCGAGAGGCCUUGGUGGGCGCUGCGUGGUACCGGUCAGCGACGAGGCCGAGCGUGACGCACUGCAGUGAGAUCGAGAUGCCCGAGGUGUCCAUUGCUGGAGCUGAAAAUGAUGACUUUUAGUCAUUCCGUGCAGUUUUUGUGGUGUUUGCCUGGGGGCACGCGUUGAAUCAGAGUUGCUUAAGCAGCAGCAAGCACAGAACUGGCAGAGAAAGGCAGCGUAAAAGGUCAAACCUCAGCUUCAAAAGAAGCUGCGAUGUCGCCCAGCCCCAUCGGAGCUGUGAUGUUUUGCCCUUAGAGUACCUAAAGCUUCAGGAGGAGAUGGUUGAGGGUGCUGGGACUCCAUGUCAGUUAAAAGCUGCCACGCCAGAACUACUCAGAGAUGCUAUCAGCAUCCCUCCUCAGGGAAGGGGAGGAAGUAUAACCCACCAGCGGAACAAAUAUGGAGAGGAAGAGACUUGGCAGAAUGCCUGCAAAUAAUUAAUUUAUUUAUGUAUAUAUUGUUGGGACAGGAGUGUUUGUUAGAUCUCAGAAAAACAAUUUAAGGCUUUGGAGUUUUUGGAGUCACUUAGAGCUGAUGGCAUCAAUACCUUUCUUACACUAGGAGGAAGCUGAUGCGAGCUGACAAAUGCACUCAGGGCAUGCUUUCAUGACAAUCCCUUCAGGGAAGGUUUAGGUUGGCUGUUGGGAAAAGUCUCUUCUCUGAAAGAGUGGCCAGGCAUUGGAAGAGGCUGCCCAGAGAGGUGGUGGAGUCACCAUCCCUGGAGGUGUUCAAAAAACAUGUAGACGUGGCACUUCAGGGCAUGGUUUAGGAGACAUAGUGGUGUUGGGUUGGCAGUUGGACUUGAUGAUCCUAGAGGUCUUUUCCAAACUUAAUGGUUCUAUGACUUCUAUGAUUCUAAACUGUGGAAUUUACUCAGGCACAACAUUUAUGGCACAAGGACCCCAGGCAGCGCAGUGCAGAUACUCACAUACCACUCGCAGCCAUGUGUUGCUGCCAGCAAACCUGGUGAUUGAAUACGUUUGGUGUUUGUAACACAAACGCAUGCUCAGUUUUAUGGUGGAAUUAAAUAAUAAUGCAUACGGGCCCCCUUCAUGUGGAGGAAAUGGGUGCCGAUCUUGAGCUUACCUGGGUUUCAGAAAACAGGGAGAGCCUGAGCCCUGCGGAGUGAGAGAGUACAACGCAGGUGAAAACUCCACGCUAGAUCCUCCUCCUGUGCAAGCGGGCGCAAGCACAUUCUCAGUAGCUCUGAGUAAUUUUACACUUGGCUUUAAAAUUUCACUUACCCCCAGGGGAC